Misgurnus anguillicaudatus (oriental weatherfish) is the source of this 3101-nucleotide non-coding RNA. NCBI's taxonomy places the organism in Eukaryota, Metazoa, Chordata, Actinopteri, Cypriniformes, Cobitidae. The record is from RefSeq and is a predicted model, not a curated record.
GGAGAAAUAAUGAGAGCGAUCAGAGCCCUCCUACGCAUCUCGUUCCCCUCCUCAUAUACUCCACCCCUUCAUUUGUCCUACCAUAAACUUCUGAACUCGCAUCCCUGACAGAUCCUUCUCUUUCCAACUGUAAAAUCAAAGCAACAGGAUUGAACUUCAGUACUUUGGCUGUCUAUCUGCAGUUUCAGCCCCGCAUCAACGGAUAACCUCUUCCGUCUCCACGACAACCAGCAUCUUUCCUCCCUGCACGGCUCGCCACUCCACCUUGCGCUCUUUCCACGGCUAAAGUGGAGACAUCACGGCGCAAUGUAACCUGCUCGUCCUCCUAUCCUCCAAAAUCCAGGACCCAACGACUGCACAACCACAUAUCAACCUACACCCGAAUUCUCCAAGCCAGUCAAGUCUUCACCUGCUCAGUAUGGAUCUGACCACUAACCGAGGACUAAACCUGCUGCUCAACUUUCUGCUCAUCGUUGUGGCUCUACUGCUCAUGCUCAUUUUGGUCAAGCUCAUGUGACCCAGUCAUGUGAUCUGCAAAAUAAUCAGGAUUUAGAAUAACGGUACAUUCACACGGGGCGAAAGCGUUAACUAUUGGAAGGCUUGUCUGAAGCGUGGCCAACAGCCAAUCACAGUGCUCCGGUCUUGCAUAAACGUAACUGGCUGGCUCACACUAGGUUAUUUGCAUAAGGCGAUCUGAUUGACUGACGCACGCAUUGGCGCUUGAAAAGUUGAGAAGUCUGGUGCGUUGACGGAUCCACAAUUCAGUUCAGCAACGCAUUACGUCACCCAUUAAAAAUAAAUCAUGAGAAGCGUUAACGCUUACGCCCCGUGUGAAUGUACCGUAAGGGCAGCUGAGGUGUUUUAUAUUAUCUUUCUUAAACCAAUUGAAAUAUGCUGUAAACAAUAUGAUUCAUUGGGCAAUCUCUCUCUGUCCACCCUCUCUCUCUCCCCAAAGCCCGUCCACUAAUAAGGGUGAUGCAAAAUGAUUGGCAGGCAGAGAGUGUUUCUAUCUAUGUAGUUUCUGGCUAGAACAUGUUUCGAGACAGGUGUGAUUUGUCAGGACACCUAUUUCAGUGAUGUCUGUCAGGUUAUAUUAUAAAAAAGAUUGCUUACAGCACUUUACACAUGCUCAGCAUUUUCUAGUAGCUUACUGAAGUGCUACAAUAAAUAAUAAUAAAGAAGCAAAAGCCGAUAAGCUCAUCUAUAUAAAAUAUAUUGCAGUUGAACCGAGACCGACAGCAUAUUACUGCUUCCUAUAUCACUGCACCCUCUAGUGGCCACUGACUGAUACUGAUAUAAAAACAACACGAGCAAGAUUAAGCAUAUACAAAAAUAUUAGUAUAAAAAAACCCUGGGACUAAAAACCUAGUAGACAUUUUUGCUCAAAUCACCUCACACACCAAAUUAAACGUUUUAACUAACCCACAUAAAAACACUACAGCAAAAACAAUGACAUUUACUAUAGUACACAACAUUUGGUUACACUUUAUUUUGCAGUGUCCAUGUUAGAGUGUAAUUAUACAUUUAAGUACUACAUAAUAAUGAUUAAGAACAUGCACUUACUAAAGGGUUAAGGUUCGAUUUAGGGUUAGUUGCAUUAAAUUAUGCACAAGUCACGGUAAUAUUUAAUACAAUUGCUAGAAGCUAUAGUGUUUUUGAACUUUUUACAACAGUAUACUAUAGUAAUUAAACUAUAUUAUACUACAGUUUACCAUAAUUAAUACAAUAAUAUACUAUAUAGGGUUCCCACACCUUAGUUAACUUAAAAUUCAAGGACCUUUCAAGGACUUUCCAUGUCCAAUACCCUUAAAUUCAAGAACUAAAUGUGGUGACACAUUUCAAGUGAGAGCAAGGUUACAUCAUGUUACCUUUAAAGAUACAUUGUAACAGUUUCCUUUCGAGGGAACUCGCGCUGCGUCACUGCAGUGACACUUUGGGCAUGCCUCCAAGGAUAAGUGUGUCUGAAUGUGUAUAUCAAAUUCAACCAAUGGUUAGGGCUGGGCAAAUUGUCCCCCUAAAAAAAUCUGUGAUUUUUUUAAUAAAAAACUCGAUUUACGAUUCGAUUUGAUUUUUCCCCCGCCCCCAUUUAAAAGAAAAUAAUUGCAAACUGUACAUAUAUUUUAAAAAUAUAUAUUUAUUAUAUUUAAUUAAAAUGCAUCAACAUAAAAUUGCCGUAAAUCCAAACCAACUCCAACUCGGGAGAGGGGAGAGGCAGAGGGCUGCGCCGCAGGGAGCGUGCUACGGAAACCCUAAAGGAAGAUUUGGUGAAUGCAAAAUGUAUGUACUACGCUAUACUGCAGAGGGGGAGAAAAAAAUCUAAAACAAAAAACGUUUUUUUUUUUGAAAAUACGAAUCGAUUUGACCUACCAACUCUAUUUUAAAAUCAAAUCGAUUUUUUCCCAGCCCUACCAAUGGUGAGGCUUAACAACAAAGACAUUGUGACGGGGGAGCCAAGAAGUAUAUCGCUAUCUGAAAUAUUGCCAUAGACAGUGUAACAGGGACGCAGGAAGUAUGGCAAGGGAGACACAGCGUCUCGUUCCCUUCUCAGGGAACAACAGUUACAUACGUAACCCGAGACGUUUUCAUGUGUCAAACACAACUAUGCAAAAAACAUUCACAUACAGAAGAUAAAAGCAUUUAAAGCGAACAGUUUAGCAUGUGUGCCUAAAAGGCUAGAAAUUUUAUAUUAUCCUACAUUACAUACACAGGGAAUAAUAUGGAUUAUAAAUAAUAAACCGAGGAAUUGUAUUAAUAGUUUAAAAAAAAACACUGGUUUUGCUAUAAAUAUCUAUAUUAUAAUAGCCAUAGUUGUAAUCAUCAUAUAUUAUUCACAAUCACAAAGUGUUGUAAAUAUACAAAGACUGAGACUGCUUCGAUUUUUGACUUAUUUCAUUACAUCUAAUCAAUAUCACAUAAAGUGCAAGUCUGAGUAUUUGUUUUGUUCCCAUCACAUGAUUCAAGAUGUCAUUUUUAUCACAGUGUUUUUUAUUCUUUUUGGAAAAUAUAUGUGUGAAUAAUAUAUUAUUAAAGUGAAGAUGAAAUAUUGUGAAUGUGUGUUUAUAAAUGGGAACUAAUAAACAAAUGCUUUUUGUGUCAGAUUA